CAGCAAAGAAACAGGUCACUCCCAGGACACAGAACUUCUUGAAAUUCUGCAUUGGCUUCUCCCUAACUCCCAAGUCUCAUAUACAUGCUUCUCAUCAAUACAGUUUAAAUAGGAACCUUGCUGACAGGAAAUGUGGAAAAUAUACUUUCCAAAAUUCUAGUCUCUGAAAAUAGAAGAGAGGCAUGAAGGAGAAACAGCACCAAGUUACUAACAUGCUGCUGCUGCUGCUAAGUCACUUCAGUCGUAUCUGACUCCGGAUGACCCCAGAGAUGGCAGCCCACCAGGCUCCCCCAUCCCUGGGAUUCUCCAGGCAAGAACGCUGGAGUGGAUUGCCAUUUCCUUCUCCAAUGCAUGAAAGUGAAAAGUGAAAGUCAAGUGUGACUCAUAGCGACCCCAUGGACUGCAGCCUACCAGGCUCCUCCGCCCAUGGGAUUUUCCAGGCAAGAGUGCUGGAGUGGGGUGCCAUUGCCUUCUCCAAAGUUACUAACAUAGAAUCCUUCAAAUGACGUGACGUGACUGGCAUGGACUCUCUCUUCCUCCCUCCCUCCCUUCUCUGGAAUUACGGAGAUCCUGAAUGUCACUGCUGGCCACUGCAACACCACUGUUGGCCACUGCAACACCACUGUUCACCUGGCUCCCAAAAUCCCUGCGCAGAGCAAGAGCC
This 664-nucleotide long non-coding RNA is filed under the name Ovis aries (sheep). Its description in RNAcentral is "lncRNA (ENSOARG00000027003.1)". Lineage: Eukaryota; Metazoa; Chordata; Mammalia; Artiodactyla; Bovidae. The record is from RNAcentral.